RNAcentral lists this ribosomal RNA (506 nucleotides) under uncultured bacterium. RNAcentral's name for it is "partial 16S ribosomal RNA". It matches the Rfam family "Bacterial small subunit ribosomal RNA", at positions 29 to 523 of the family's 1533-position model. The record is from RNAcentral.
AGUGAACGCUGGCGGUAGGCCUAACACAUGCAAGUCGAACGGCAGCACAGAGGAGCUUGCUCCUUGGGUGGCGAGUGGCGGACGGGUGAGGAAUACAUCGGAAUCUACUCUGUCGUGGGGGAUAACGUAGGGAAACUUACGCUAAUACCGCAUACGACCUACGGGUGAAAGCAGGGGAUCUUCGGACCUUGCGCGAUUGAAUGAGCCGAUGUCGGAUUAGCUAGUUGGCGGGGUAAAGGCCCACCAAGGCGACGAUCCGUAGCUGGUCUGAGAUGAUGAGCAGCCCCACUGGAACGGAGACACGGUCCAGACUCCUACGGGAGGCAGCAGUGGGGAAUAUUGGACAAUGGGCGCAAGCCUGAUCCAGCCAUACCGCGUGGGUGAAGAAGGCCUUCGGGUUGUAAAGCCCUUUUGUUGGGAAAGAAAUCCAGCUGGCUAAUACCCGGUUGGGAUGACGGUACCCAAAGAAUAAGCACCGGCUAACUUCGUGCCAGCCGCCGCAGUAA